AAUAGAUACCCGGGUAGUCCACGCCGUAAACGUUGGAUACUAGGUGUGGCGGUUAUACCAAUGACUGCCGUGCCGAAGCUAACGCAUUAAGUAUCCCGCCUGGGGAGUACGGCCGCAAGGCUAAAACUCAAAGGAAUUGACGGGUCCCCGCACAAGCGGCGGAGCAUGCGGCUUAAUUCGAUGCNAACCCGAAGAACCUUACCUGGGUUUGACAUCACGGGAAAAGCUGUAGAAAUACAGUGUCCAUUAGGGCCCGUGACAGGUGGUGCAUGGCUGUCGUCAGCUCGUGUCGUGAGAUGUUGGGUUAAGUCCCGCAACGAGCGCAACCCUUGUCCUAUGUUGCCAGCGGUUCGGCCGGGGACUCAUAGGAGACUGCCGGGGAUAACUCGGAGGAAGGUGAGGACGACGUCAAGUCAUCAUGCCCCUUAUAUCCAGGGCUGCACGCAUGCUACAAUGGCCGGUACAACGGGCAGCGACCCCGCGAGGGUGAGCGAAUCCUAAAAAGCCGGUCCUAGUUCGGAUUGAAGUCUGCAACUCGACUU
RNAcentral lists this ribosomal RNA (542 nucleotides) under uncultured bacterium. RNAcentral describes it as "bacterial SSU rRNA". It matches the Rfam family "Bacterial small subunit ribosomal RNA", at positions 777 to 1318 of the family's 1533-position model. The record is from RNAcentral.